This 440-nucleotide ribosomal RNA is filed under the name uncultured bacterium. RNAcentral describes it as "partial 16S ribosomal RNA". It matches the Rfam family "Bacterial small subunit ribosomal RNA", at positions 338 to 795 of the family's 1533-position model. The record is from RNAcentral.
CCUACGGGAGGCAGCAGUGGGGGAUAUUGCACAAUGGGGGAAACCCUGAUGCAGCGACGCCGCGUGGGUGAAGAAGCGCCUCGGCGCGUAAAGCCCUGUCAGCAGGGAAGAAAAUGACGGUACCUGAAGAAGAAGCCCCGGCUAACUACGUUCCAGCAGCAGCGGUAAUACGUAGGGGGCAAGCGUUAUCCGGAUUUACUGGGUGUAAAGGGGGCGCAGACGGCGAUGCAAGCCAGGAGUGAAAGCCCGGGGCCCAACCGCGGGACUGCUCUUGGAACUGCGUGGCUAGAGUGCAGGAGGGGCAGGCGGAAUUCGUGGUGUAGCGGUGAAAUGCGUAGAUAUCAGGAGGAACACCGGUGGCGAAGGCGGCCUGCUGGACUGCAACUGACGUUGAGGCCCGAAAGCGUGGGGAGCAAACAGGAUUAGAUACCCGAGUAGUC